Molecule: ribosomal RNA, 448 nt
Filed under: uncultured bacterium
Lineage: Bacteria
Description: bacterial SSU rRNA
Rfam family: Bacterial small subunit ribosomal RNA
Source: RNAcentral
UUCCAGACUCCUACGGGAGGCAGCAGUGGGGAAUAUUGCACAAUGGGGGAAACCCUGAUGCAGCGACGCCGCGUGAGUGAAGAAGUAUUUCGGUAUGUAAAGCUCUAUCAGCAGGGAAGAUAAUGACGGUACCUGACUAAGAAGCCCCGGCUAACUACGUGCCAGCAGCCGCGGUAAUACGUAGGGGGCAAGCGUUAUCCGGAUUUACUGGGUGUAAAGGGUGCGUAGGUGGCAUGGCAAGUCAGAAGUGAAAGCCCGGGGCUCAACCCCGCGGACUGCUUUUGAAACUGUCAGGCUGGAGUACAGGAGAGGUAAGCGGAAUUCCUAGUGUAGCGGUGAAAUGCGUAGAUAUUAGGGGGAACACCAGUGGCGAAGGCGGCUUACUGGACUGUAACUGACACUGAGGCACGAAAGCGUGGGGAGCAAACAGGAUUAGAUACCCCCGUAC